GAUGAAGAACGCAGCGAAACGCGAUAAGUAAUGUGAAUUGCAGAAUUCAGUGAAUCAUCGAGUCUUUGAACGCACAUUGCGCCCCCUGGUAUUCCGGGGGGCAUGCCUGUCCGAGCGUCAUUGCUGCCCUCAAGCACGGCUUGUGUGUUGGGCCCCCGUCCCCGGUUCUCCCCGGGGACGGGCCCGAAAGGCAGCGGCGGCACCGCGUCCGAUCCUCGAGCGUAUGGGGCUUUGUCACCCGCUCUGUAGGCCCGGCCGGCGCCAGCCGACACCCCAACUUUAUUUUCUAAGGUUGACCUCGGAUCAGGUAGGGAUACCCGCUGAACUUAAGCAUAUCAAUAAGCGGAGGA
This 350-nucleotide unclassified non-coding RNA is filed under the name soil metagenome. RNAcentral describes it as "partial contains 5.8S ribosomal RNA, internal transcribed spacer 2, and large subunit ribosomal RNA". The stretch from base 1 to 120 matches the Rfam family "5.8S ribosomal RNA", at positions 35 to 154 of the family's 154-position model. The record is from RNAcentral.